Molecule: non-coding RNA, 476 nt
Organism: Camelina sativa (false flax)
Lineage: Eukaryota; Viridiplantae; Streptophyta; Magnoliopsida; Brassicales; Brassicaceae
Source: RefSeq, a predicted model, not a curated record
UUUAAUGACUAUUGCUUAACUUUGCAGGUUACUUUUAUUUCUAUGCAAGAGAUAAUAUAAGUAUCAGUAAUAGUACAUCAAAUGGAAAGGAAAAGAUGGUGCAAGCUCAUAAAUGUAACAAACUACUUGUGCCAACAACAACUGUCUUCACCUUACCAAAAAAAACAACAACUGUCUUCAGUUCUAUACAGAUUCAGAUGUAAACAAUUCAUCGAAUAGGAAAUCAAGUGCAAGAACAAAGAUGUUAAUGGACUAAUAUUGAAAAACAUUGUAGAUUAGCGAUUGAGGGUUGCUUUCAACAUGAAAUCAUCGAUUGAUUUAGGCUUGUAGGCCAAUCAAGGUUGAUUCUCAUUUCGUUACAGACUGCGUUAUGACCCGGAAAAGGAAAAGAAGAUGCCACGAAUGGAGAAUGAACCCUCCAAGCUGUUUUGUAUGAUCUGAGGAAGGCAAAAGUAGCAACCAAGCGAUCUUCAAGG